This is a long non-coding RNA of Gossypium arboreum, 693 nucleotides long. RefSeq lists it as uncharacterized. The record is from RefSeq and is a predicted model, not a curated record. NCBI's taxonomy places the organism in Eukaryota, Viridiplantae, Streptophyta, Magnoliopsida, Malvales, Malvaceae. The transcript is spliced from 2 exons.
AGGGGUUAAAUUGUGAAAGUUACAAAUUGGCCAUAAGUGUGUGAAUUAGUGAAAAUUUGGAGUUACCAUAGAAGAGAAAAAUGUUCAGCAUGUCUUAAACCUUAUAGAAAUUGAAUAAAAAUUAAUUUACGAGCAUUGGGGCAAAAGUGCAAAUAUGUAAAAGUUUUGGGGUCAAAAUAAAAAUUUGUAAAAUAUGAUUUUUAGACCCAUAUGAAUAUUGUGACUGAUUGGUAGGCUAAAUGUGAUGGUAUAGAUGAUGAAAAUUGAGACUUGGACCUAGAACGGAAAGAAAUCGAUUUAUGGACGAGUAUGUCCUUUUCACAUUUGUGGUAUCAAGAGUUUCCAGGUUAGCUCGGGUUGGAGGCCGUCAGAGAUAUUAUCACCCUAUCGAGUUAACAUUAUCGGAGUAAGUAAACUCAAGUGAUUCGAGUCUAUGGCAUGUAUAGGGUUUUAAUGUGAGUAUGUAAUAUUAUGAUUUAGCCAAAGGCAUUGGCUUGUUAUUAAGGUAGUAUUAGUCAUGUAAAUUGGCCUAUGUCGGCUAAUGACAUUAUGGGCCCAUAUGAUUAUUCUUAUGCAUGUAUGUUAUUAUCUCUUGUGAUGUGGCUUACAACAUGUAUACCUAGAGAUUGAAUUGAGAUUCAUUGAUGAGCUAGUAACUAAUGCAGGAUUAAGUGAUUGGUAAAUAGUUAAUAA